AAUAUAGCACAAUGGGCGAAAGCCCGAUGCAGCAACGCGGCGCGUGUGAUGAAGGCAUACUGGUCGUAAAGCUCUCUGAUCAGGGACGAUAAUGACAGUACCUGAAAAACAAGCAACGGCUAACUACGUCCUAGCACCCGCGGUAAUACGUAGGUGGCGAGCGUUGUCCUGAAUUACUGGGCGUAAAGGAUGCGUAUGUGGAUACUUAAGUGAGAUGUGAGAUCCCCGGGCUCAACCCGGGAACUGCAUUCCAAACUGUGUAUCUAGAGUGCAGGAGAGGAAAGCGGAAUUCCUAGUGUAGCGGUGAAAUGCGUAGAUAUUAGGAGGAACACCAGUGGCGAAGGCGGCUUUCUGGACUGUGACUGACACUGAGGCAUGAAAGCGUGGGUAGCAAACAGG
RNAcentral lists this ribosomal RNA (399 nucleotides) under uncultured bacterium. RNAcentral's name for it is "partial 16S ribosomal RNA". It matches the Rfam family "Bacterial small subunit ribosomal RNA", at positions 360 to 776 of the family's 1533-position model. The record is from RNAcentral.